CGGACGGGUGAGUAACGCGUAAGAACUUGCCCUUUAGACUGGGAUAACAGAGGGAAACUUCUGAUAAUACUGGAUAAGUUAGUAUAUCGCAUGAUAUGCAAAUGAAAGCUACGGCACUAAAGGAGAGCUUUGCGUCCUAUUAGCUAGUUGGUAAGGUAAGAGCUUACCAAGGCGAUGAUAGGUAGCCGGCCUGAGAGGGUGGACGGCCACAAGGGGACUGAGAUACGGCCCUUACUCCUACGGGAGGCAGCAGAA
Molecule: ribosomal RNA, 255 nt
Filed under: uncultured Leptotrichia sp.
Lineage: Bacteria; Fusobacteriati; Fusobacteriota; Fusobacteriia; Fusobacteriales; Leptotrichiaceae
Description: partial 16S ribosomal RNA
Rfam family: Bacterial small subunit ribosomal RNA
Source: RNAcentral